GACGAACGCUGUCGGCGUGCCUAACACAUGCAAGUCGAACGGAAAGGCCCUGCUUUUGUGGGGUGCUCGAGUGGCGAACGGGUGAGUAACACGUGAGUAACCUGCCCUUGACUUUGGGAUAACUUCAGGAAACUGGGGCUAAUACCGGAUAGGAGCUCCUGCUGCAUGGUGGGGGUUGGAAAGUUUCGGCGGUUGGGGAUGGACUCGCGGCUUAUCAGCUUGUUGGUGGGGUAGUGGCUUACCAAGGCUUUGACGGGUAGCCGGCCUGAGAGGGUGACCGGCCACAUUGGGACUGAGAUACGGCCCAGACUCCUACGGGAGGCAGCAGUGGGGAAUAUUGCACAAUGGGCGGAAGCCUGAUGCAGCAACGCCGCGUGCGGGAUGACGGCCUUCGGGUUGUAAACCGCUUUCGCCUGUGACGAAGCGUGAGUGACGGUAAUGGGUAAAGAAGCACCGGCUAACUACGUGCCAGCAGCCGCGGUGAUACGUAGGGUGCGAGCGUUGUCCGGAUUUAUUGGGCGUAAAGGGCUCGUAGGUGGUUGAUCGCGUCGGAAGUGUAAUCUUGGGGCUUAACCCUGAGCGUGCUUUCGAUACGGGUUGACUUGAGGAAGGUAGGGGAGAAUGGAAUUCCUGGUGGAGCGGUGGAAUGCGCAGAUAUCAGGAGGAACACCAGUGGCGAAGGCGGUUCUCUGGGCCUUUCCUGACGCUGAGGAGCGAAAGCGUGGGGAGCGAACAGGCUUAGAUACCCUGGUAGUCCACGCUGUAAACGGUGGGUACUAGGUGUGGGGUCCAUUCCACGGGUUCCGUGCCGUAGCUAACGCUUUAAGUACCCCGCCUGGGGAGUACGGCCGCAAGGCUAAAACUCAAAGGAAUUGACGGGGCCCCGCACAAGCGGCGGAGCAUGCGGAUUAAUUCGAUGCAACGCGUAGAACCUUACCUGGGUUUGACAUGGAUCGGGAGUGCUCAGAGAUGGGUGUGCCUCUUUUGGGGUCGGUUCACAGGUGGUGCAUGCCUGUCGUCAGCUCGUGUCGUGAGAUGUUGGGUUAAGUCCCGCAACGAGCGCAACCCUUGUUCACUGUUGCCAGCACGUUAUGGUGGGGACUCAGUGGAGACCGCCGGGGUCAACUCGGAGGAAGGUGGGGAUGACGUCAAGUCAUCAUGCCCCUUAUGUCCAGGGCUUCACGCAUGCUACAAUGGCUGGUACAGAGAGUGGCGAGCCUGUGAGGGUGAGCGAAUCUCGGAAAGCCGGUCUCAGUUCGGAUUGGGGUCUGCAACUCGACCUCAUGAAGUCGGAGUCGCUAGUAAUCGCAGAUCAGCAACGCUGCGGUGAAUACGUUCCCGGG
This 1343-nucleotide ribosomal RNA is filed under the name uncultured bacterium. RNAcentral's name for it is "16S ribosomal RNA". It matches the Rfam family "Bacterial small subunit ribosomal RNA", at positions 28 to 1378 of the family's 1533-position model. The record is from RNAcentral.